UGGUGUAGUGGUUAAGAGCUUUGGCUGCUAACCAAAAGGUUGGUGGUUUGAAUCCACC
This is a non-coding RNA of Loxodonta africana (African savanna elephant), 58 nucleotides long. Lineage: Eukaryota; Metazoa; Chordata; Mammalia; Proboscidea; Elephantidae. The record is from Rfam.